Molecule: ribosomal RNA, 250 nt
Filed under: uncultured bacterium
Lineage: Bacteria
Description: partial 16S ribosomal RNA
Rfam family: Bacterial small subunit ribosomal RNA
Source: RNAcentral
UACGGAGGGUGCAAGCGUUAUCCGGAUUCACUGGGUUUAAAGGGUGCGUAGGCGGGUACUUAAGUCAGUGGUGAAAUCUUAGGGCUCAACCCUGAAAUUGCCAUUGAUACUAUUUACCUUGAAUGUCGAAGAGGUUAGCGGAAUAGGACAUGUAGCGGUGAAAUGCAUAGAUAUGUCCUAGAACACCGAUUGCGAAGGCAGCUAACUGGCCGAUAAUUGACGCUGAUGCACGAAAGCGUGGGUAGCGAAC